RNAcentral lists this ribosomal RNA (186 nucleotides) under uncultured bacterium. RNAcentral describes it as "partial 16S ribosomal RNA". It matches the Rfam family "Bacterial small subunit ribosomal RNA", at positions 1315 to 1500 of the family's 1533-position model. The record is from RNAcentral.
CCCACAUGAAGUUGGAGUUGCUAGUAAUCGCGGAUCAGCAUGUCGCGGUGAAUACGUUCCCGGGCCUUGUACACACCGCCCGUCACACCAUGGGAGUUGGGAGCGCCCGAAGCCGGUGAGGUAACCGAGAGGAGCCAGCCGUCGAAGGUGAGACCAAUGACUGGGGUGAAGUCGUAACAAGGUACC